Regulatory RNA element from Oceanicaulis alexandrii, 105 nucleotides. It matches the Rfam family "TPP riboswitch aptamer (THI element)". Rfam says of the family: Vitamin B(1) in its active form thiamin pyrophosphate (TPP) is an essential coenzyme that is synthesised by coupling of pyrimidine and thiazole moieties in bacteria. The previously detected thiamin-regulatory element, thi box was extended, resulting in a new, highly conserved RNA secondary structure, the THI element, which is widely distributed in eubacteria and also occurs in some archaea. Analysis of operon structures identified a large number of new candidate thiamin-regulated genes, mostly transporters, in various prokaryotic organisms. The record is from Rfam. Lineage: Bacteria; Pseudomonadati; Pseudomonadota; Alphaproteobacteria; Maricaulales; Maricaulaceae.
GUCAGUUCCAAGGGGUGUCCCGUGCGGUGGUCGUACGGGGCUGAGACGUCACCCUCAGGACCGGAUCCGGGUCAUGCCGGCGGCGGGAUGGAGCAGCGCGAUGAC